Molecule: long non-coding RNA, 523 nt
Organism: Bombus impatiens (common eastern bumble bee)
Lineage: Eukaryota; Metazoa; Arthropoda; Insecta; Hymenoptera; Apidae
Exons: 3
Source: RefSeq, a predicted model, not a curated record
CAUUAUAUCAUGCUAGCGCAUCAUCAUAGAGUUCAGUACUGUUUAAUCUGUUGAGAUAAAUGUCAUGUUGGUAUGAUCACUAGUUCCUACAUGCGAAGUUGGUACGACUUCUAACGACGCCCUUUUGUUUUAGCUUCUGCCACGUGUUAAUUAUCUGAGAGUAUCCGGUGUGUUCAUAUGGCUGUACAUGGUGGUGAAAUACAGAAUAUAAAAACUGAAUCUGUGUGAAUCAAUUAAAUAUCGAACUCCAAAACCUAUUUAAUAACAGGGGUAGUGCAGUAACCGAAAUGGAAAUUAUUCUACAUGCAAAAGAAAUUUGAAGAGUUCUCGUUGCCAGAAAUUUAAGGUGAAUGGAUUUUGUGAUAUUCAGGCAAACUGACUCCCGAGUAAGAUAAAACUUCAUAAAUUCUUUCCUAUGGUGCUUUGCUGAGACCUUUGGAUUUUAACUCGUAAACAAGUUCGCUUAAUGUGCGAUUUAUAAAUAUUUACAUAGAACUGUCCAGUUAAUAAGGUUGUUUUCUUC